This 301-nucleotide ribosomal RNA is filed under the name uncultured bacterium. Its description in RNAcentral is "partial 16S ribosomal RNA". It matches the Rfam family "Bacterial small subunit ribosomal RNA", at positions 509 to 807 of the family's 1533-position model. The record is from RNAcentral.
CAGUCGCCGCGGUAAUACGUAGGUGGCAAGCGUUGUCCGGAAUUAUUGGGCGUAAAGGGCUCGCAGGCGGUUUCUUAAGUCUGAUGUGAAAGCCCCCGGCUCAACCGGGGAGGGUCAUUGGAAACUGGGAAACUUGAGUGCAGAAGAGGAGAGUGGAAUUCCACGUGCAGCGGUGAAAUGCGUAGAGAUGUGGAGGAACACCAGUGGCGAAGGCGACUCUCUGGUCUGUAACUGACGCUGAGGAGCGAAAGCUAGGGGAGCAAAUGGGAUUAGAUACCCGAGUAGUCCCUGUCUCUUAUAC